AACAGGGCGAUUAGUCGGAAGGAGUAGACGCGAAACCAAGUGAUCUACCCUUGGUCAGGUUGAAGGUUAGGUAACACUAACUGGAGGACCGAACCGAUAAGCGUUGAAAAGCUUCCGGAUGAACUGAGGGUGGGGGUGAAAGGCUAAUCAAACUUGGAGAUAGCUCGUACUCCCCGAAAUGCAUUUAGGUGCAGCCUUGGGAAUUACUACUGUGAGGUAGAGCGACUGAUAAGAUGCGAGGGCUUCACCGCCUAUCAAGUCUUGAUAAACUCCGAAUGCGCAGUAGUUCGAUCCCAGGAGUGAGGGCAUGGGUGCUAAGGUCCAUGUCCUAAAGGAGAAGAAUCCAGACCAUCAGCUAAGGUCCCGAAAUAAUUGCUAAGUUGAACUAACGAAGUCAGAUUGCUAAGACAGCUAGGAUGUUGGCUUGGAAGCAGCCAUUCAUUUAAAGAGUGCGUAACAGCUCACUAGUCGAGGAGUUUGGCGUGGAUAAUAAUCGGGCAUCAAGUAUUUUACCGAAGCUAUGGGAUCAGUAAUGAUCGGUAGGGGAGCAUUCCACUCUGCGUCGAAGGUGAAGCGUGAGCUUUGCUGGAGCGUGUGGAAAAGCAAAUGUAGGUAUAAGUAACGAUAAAGGGGGUGAGAAACCCCCUCGCCGAAAGACUAAGGUUUCCUGAUCAACGCUAAUCGGAUCAGGGUUAGUCGGGUCCUAAGGCUCAGCCGAACGGUGAGGCCGAUGGCAGAACAGGUUAAUAUUCCUGUACUACCUUAAGGAGUGACGUGGAGACGGAGGAGUGACAGCGCCGCGGACUGACGGAAUAGUCCGUUGAAGGGUGUAGAUGUUGAUUAUCCCAGGCAAAUCCAGGAUAAGAGUCGAACCUGAUAGUAUACCAAAUUCUUCGGAAUAAGGUAAUAGUGCGUGUAAGCAUACUCCCAAGAAAAUCCGCUAAACUUAAUCUUUAAGGUACCCGUACCGCAAACGGACACACGUAGUCGGGUUGAAUAUACUAAGGCGCUUGAGUGAUUCACGGUUAAGGAACUAGGCAAAUUGACCCUGUAACUUCGGGAUAAAGGGUCCCAACGAGAGUUGGGCGCAGAGAAUAGGUCCAGGCAACUGUUUAACAAAAACACAGGGCUGUGCCAAAUUGAAAGAUUACGUAUACAGCCUGAGAGCUGCCCGGUGCUGGAAGGUUAAGAGGAGAUGUCAUCGCAAGAGAAGCAUUGAAUUGAAGCCCGAGUAAACGGCGGCCGUAACUAUAACGGUCCUAAGGUAGCGAAAUUCCUUGUCGGGUAAGUUCCGACCUGCACGAAUGGUGUAAUGAUCUGGACACUGUCUCAACCGUGAGCUCAGUGAAAU
Molecule: ribosomal RNA, 1351 nt
Filed under: human gut metagenome
Description: bacterial LSU rRNA
Rfam family: Bacterial large subunit ribosomal RNA
Source: RNAcentral